GGAAUAUAAGAAACCGUCUCUUAAGUUUUAACUAAAAAAACUAAGAAUCGAUUUUUAAAUAAGAUAUUUAAAAACCGGUUUUUAGUUUUUUUUUUUAAAUUAAAACUUAAGAGACAAUUUCUUAUAUUCC
Molecule: microRNA precursor, 130 nt
Organism: Brassica oleracea var. oleracea
Lineage: Eukaryota; Viridiplantae; Streptophyta; Magnoliopsida; Brassicales; Brassicaceae
Rfam family: MIR9563 microRNA precursor family
Source: Rfam